Collimonas arenae is the source of this 108-nucleotide non-coding RNA. NCBI's taxonomy places the organism in Bacteria, Pseudomonadati, Pseudomonadota, Betaproteobacteria, Burkholderiales, Oxalobacteraceae. The record is from Rfam.
GCACAACGCUAGGGGUCCUGAUUGCUGAAAUGCCAAUGUAAUCGGGUGAGAAAUACCCUCGAACCUGAUCUGGGUAAUGCCAGCGAAGGGAAGCUGUCGAGAAUGUUG